This 301-nucleotide ribosomal RNA is filed under the name uncultured bacterium. Its description in RNAcentral is "partial 16S ribosomal RNA". It matches the Rfam family "Bacterial small subunit ribosomal RNA", at positions 509 to 807 of the family's 1533-position model. The record is from RNAcentral.
CAGCAGCCACGGUAAUACGGAGGGAGCUAGCGUUGUUCGGAAUUACUGGGCGUAAAGCGCACGUAGGCGGCUUGGUAAGUUAGAGGUGAAAGCCUGGAGCUCAACUCCAGAAUUGCCUUUAAGACUGCCGAGCUAGCAGGUGAGAGAGGUAUGUGGAACUCCGAGUGUAGAGGUGAAAUUCGUAGAUAUUCGGAAGAACACCAGUGGCGAAGGCGACAUACUGGAUCAUUACUGACGCUGAGGCUCGAAAGCGUGGGGAGCAAACAGGAUUAGAUACCCGCGUAGUCCCUGUCUCUUAUAC